CUAGUCUGUAAAGGUGAUGUGAUGGUUGGUCUGUAAAGGUGAUGUGAUGGUUGGUCUGUAAAGGUGAUGUGAUGGUUGGUCUGUAAAGGUGAUGUGAUGGUUGGUCUGUAAAGGUGAUGUGAUGGUUGGUCUGUAAAGGUGAUGUGAUGGUUGGUCUGUAAAGGUGAUGUGAUGGUUGGUCUGUAAAGGUGAUGUGAUGGUUGGUCUGUAAAGGUGAUGUGAUGGUUGGUCUGUAAAGGUGAUGUGAUGGUUGGUCUGUAAAGGUGAUGUGAUGGUUGGUCUGUAAAGGUGAUGUGAUGGUUGGUCUGUAAAGGUGAUGUGAUGGUUGGUCUGUAAAGGUGAUGUGAUGGUUGGUCUGUAAAGGUGAUGUGAUGGUUGGUCUGUAAAGGUGAUGUGAUGGUUGGUCUGUAAAGGUGAUGUGAUGGUUGGUCUGUAAAGGUGAUGUCUGGUCUGUAAAGGUGAUGGUUGGUCUGUAAAGGUGAUGUCUAGUCUGUAAAGGUGAUGUC
This is a long non-coding RNA of Oncorhynchus keta (chum salmon), 506 nucleotides long. RefSeq lists it as uncharacterized. The transcript has 3 exons. The record is from RefSeq and is a predicted model, not a curated record. NCBI's taxonomy places the organism in Eukaryota, Metazoa, Chordata, Actinopteri, Salmoniformes, Salmonidae.